RNAcentral lists this ribosomal RNA (512 nucleotides) under uncultured bacterium. Its description in RNAcentral is "partial 16S ribosomal RNA". It matches the Rfam family "Bacterial small subunit ribosomal RNA", at positions 28 to 523 of the family's 1533-position model. The record is from RNAcentral.
GACGAACGCUGGCGGCGUGCUUAACACAUGCAAGUCGAACGGAGAUUCAGCAAUGGAUCUUAGUGGCGAACGGGUGAGUAACGCGUAGGCAAUCUGCCUUCUAGAUGGGGACAACAUCCCGAAAGGGGUGCUAAUCCCGAAUGUUGUACCGUUUCCGCAUGGAGUUGAUACUAAAGGCGGCCUCCGAAUAUGCUACCGCUAGAAGAUGAGCCUGGGUCUGAUUAGCUAGUUGGAGGGGUAACGGCCCACCAAGGCUUCGAUCAGUAGCCGGUCUGAGAGGAUGAACGGCCACACUGGGACUGAGACACGGCCUAGACUCCUAGGGGAGGCAGCAGUGGGGAAUCUUCCGCAAUGGGCGAAAGUCUGACGGAGCAACGCCGCGUGAGUGAAGAAGGUUUUCGGAUCGUAAAGCUCUUUCGUUAGGGACGAACGUGCUCUUUGUGAAUAAUGAGGAGUAAUGACGGUACCUAAAUAAGAAGCCACGGCUAACUACGUGCCAGCCGCCGCAGUAA